This 238-nucleotide ribosomal RNA is filed under the name uncultured bacterium. RNAcentral describes it as "partial 16S ribosomal RNA". It matches the Rfam family "Bacterial small subunit ribosomal RNA", at positions 96 to 334 of the family's 1533-position model. The record is from RNAcentral.
CGGCGGACGGGUGAGUAACGCGUGGGUAACCUGCCUCAUACAGGGGGAUAACGGUUGGAAACGGCUGCUAAUACCGCAUAAGCGCACAGUACCGCAUGGUACCGUGUGAAAAACUCCGGUGGUAUGAGAUGGACCCGCGUCUAAUUAGCUAGUUGGUGGGGUAACGGCCUACCAAGGCGACGAUCAGUAGCCGACCUGAGAGGGUGACCGGCCACAUUGGGACUGAGACACGGCCCAA